UCCCACCCGAGCCGCGCGUGGGCGGCGCCGGGCUUUGACCCCGCGCAGGCAGACAAGCGCCGCCGGCCAGAUGGAACCGUGAGAAAGUUUUUCUCCCUUGUCAUCCCCUUCCCAGAGCCACAGAAAUUAUCCCUGUGGUCUCCCUUGUCCUCACUCGGCCUUUUCUGGAGUUCAGAGAUCCAAGCCAACUGCUGGGUCUGUUCCCUGCUAAAAUCUUAGGCCGGCGUCCCAUCCACCCAUCCCCAUGCCUACGACUUUUAAGCUGGCAACACCACUUGGGUUUAGUUUUCCCUUCGUAUAUCACUAUCUUCGUUGCUUACCUUCUUGUGCCUAAAGUUCCACCGAUGUGCAAGAUUAACCACUAAAGUGCACCUGACACUACUCUUGACAAAUUGCAGUUGGGAGGCGGAAGAUACAUGGAUAAGAGAUAGUGCUAACAUGUACCUUCUACUUGGAUGGACAGUAUGGCAUGUGAAGAUUCAUAUCGUGAACUUUUGCUCCGAGAACCACUGCAGGACCAUACCAGGAAAACCUAAAGAAUUCACAGAUCUUUGAAAGAAGCACUUCAGGAGUGAAGCUGCAGAACUUUGCGUGAUCAAUUGCUGAUACAGAAAACAACAGAAGACCAUAUUGGAAGAAAUGCCAC
Long non-coding RNA from Symphalangus syndactylus (siamang), 646 nucleotides. RefSeq lists it as uncharacterized. Lineage: Eukaryota; Metazoa; Chordata; Mammalia; Primates; Hylobatidae. The record is from RefSeq and is a predicted model, not a curated record.